CCUACGGGGGGCUGCAGUGAGGAAUAUUGGUCAAUGGACGAGAGUCUGAACCAGCCAAGUAGCGUGAAGGAUGACUGCCCUAUGGGUUGUAAACUUCUUUUAUAUGGGAAUAAAAUGUUCCACGUGUGGGAUUUUGUAUGUACCAUAUGAAUAAGGAUCGGCUAACUCCGUGCCAGCAGCCGCGGUAAUACGGAGGAUCCGAGCGUUAUCCGGAUUUAUUGGGUUUAAAGGGAGCGUAGGUGGAUUGUUAAGUCAGUUGUGAAAGUUUGCGGCUCAACCGUAAAAUUGCAGUUGAAACUGGCAGUCUUGAGUACAGUAGAGGUGGGCGGAAUUCGUGGUGUAGCGGUGAAAUGCUUAGAUAUCACGAAGAACUCCGAUUGCGAAGGCAGUUCACUGGACUGCAACUGACACUGAGGCUUGAAAGUGUGGGUAUCAAACAGGAUUAGAUACCCUAGUAGUC
This 460-nucleotide ribosomal RNA is filed under the name uncultured bacterium. RNAcentral describes it as "partial 16S ribosomal RNA". It matches the Rfam family "Bacterial small subunit ribosomal RNA", at positions 338 to 795 of the family's 1533-position model. The record is from RNAcentral.